GUCGAAGGUGGGGCUGAUGACUGGGGUGAAGUCGUAACAAGGUAUCCGUACCGGAAGGUGCGGAUGGAUCACCUCCUAACAGGGAGACAACACAAUGAUUUUGAUGCCUGAGUACUUUUAUUCUUAGGCCGAAAUCCUGUCACCUUAGGUCGAUCGGUACCUCAGCUUUGAAGUCAAGGAUCAGCAGCAAUGUUGAUUGCUUGAUGGAGAUUUUUAGUUCCUAAACUUUGUCUAGGUCACACCCCAAAAGGGAUGAGACUCCUGGGCCAUUAGCUCAGGUGGUUAGAGCGCACCCCUGAUAAGGGUGAGGUCCCUGGUUCAAGUCCAGGAUGGCCCAUUCGGUGUUGGGGGUUUAGCUCAGUUGGUAGAGCGCCUGCUUUGCAAGCAGGAUGUCAGGAGUUCGAGUCUCCUAACCUCCACUGACCGAACUUGAUUCCCAUCUCCAAUUUUUUGGAGUUGAGCUCGAUUGGAGUGUGAUUUAGAUGUGUCCGCUGGAUGACCCCAGCUUCCUGUCAUUCCAAGUUUUAGAUUUUAAGUCUUAAAUUUGGUUGAUAAGAUGCUGGGCUCGGAUCAAAUAAUCAAGCAAUUGAUGAUUUGAUUUGAAGUUCUAGCAGAACCUUGACAACUGCAUAGGUGAAGUCUGGAAAAACAAAGCAUCUUACAGAUGCAUUGUUUUGAAUCUGAUCUUCUGAAAGGGAGAUUGGAUCUAGAACAAUGAAAAUUCUUUUGAGCAAGAGCCGAGACUCUUAAAUGUUCUUUGAUUCGUGUCGAGCGAAUCAGAGUUUGAUCUUGUUUUUAGCAAUAAAAACUUGAGAAUCUGCUUUCAACGGCGGUAAGCGUUUAAGAGGUUAAUUGGUCAAGCUACAAAGGGCUC
This 874-nucleotide unclassified non-coding RNA is filed under the name uncultured Synechococcus sp. Its description in RNAcentral is "partial may contain 16S ribosomal RNA, 16S-23S ribosomal RNA intergenic spacer, and 23S ribosomal RNA". The stretch from base 347 to 419 matches the Rfam family "tRNA". Lineage: Bacteria; Bacillati; Cyanobacteriota; Cyanophyceae; Synechococcales; Synechococcaceae. The record is from RNAcentral.